This 237-nucleotide long non-coding RNA is filed under the name Capsicum annuum. Its description in RNAcentral is "long non-coding RNA (CANN_LNC001119)". Lineage: Eukaryota; Viridiplantae; Streptophyta; Magnoliopsida; Solanales; Solanaceae. The record is from RNAcentral.
UGUGAAGGACUUUCACACUGAGGUAAAGAUGAACAUACUCAUGAAUGUUAAGGAAAAAUAGCUAACUUUUAUACUUAGGUACAUGUGAAUGAUGAACAUGUGACUAAUAAGCCGUUGAGUGUGAGUAGUAGCUUACCUACAUAUGAGUAUAUUGAUUCCUUACCACUUGUGGAUGAUGUACAUGUUGUGCGAGUGGAUACACUAGUAUAUCCUAUAGAUGACCAAAUCGACUCUUCU